GUACGUACAAGCAGUGGGAGCACAGGUUUACCUGUGUGACUGCGUACCUUUUGUAUAAUGGGUCAGCGACUUAUAUUCUGUAGCAAGGUUAACCGUAUAGGGGAGCCGUAGGGAAACCGAGUCUUAAUUGGGCGUUAAGUUGCAGGGUAUAGACCCGAAACCCGGUGAUCUAGCCAUGGGCAGGUUGAAGGUUGGGUAACACUAACUGGAGGACCGAACCGACUAAUGUUGAAAAAUUAGCGGAUGACCUGUGGCU
This 256-nucleotide ribosomal RNA is filed under the name Salmonella enterica subsp. enterica serovar Paratyphi B var. L(+) tartrate +. RNAcentral's name for it is "Salmonella enterica subsp. enterica serovar Java partial 23S ribosomal RNA". It matches the Rfam family "Bacterial large subunit ribosomal RNA", at positions 560 to 816 of the family's 2925-position model. The record is from RNAcentral. Lineage: Bacteria; Pseudomonadati; Pseudomonadota; Gammaproteobacteria; Enterobacterales; Enterobacteriaceae.